Molecule: ribosomal RNA, 251 nt
Filed under: uncultured bacterium
Lineage: Bacteria
Description: partial 16S ribosomal RNA
Rfam family: Bacterial small subunit ribosomal RNA
Source: RNAcentral
CAAGACCGCGAGGUUUAGCAAAUCUCUUAAAGCCGUUCUCAGUUCGGAUUGUAGGCUGCAACUCGCCUACAUGAAGUCGGAAUCGCUAGUAAUCGCGGAUCAGCAUGCCGCGGUGAAUACGUUCCCGGGCCUUGUACACACCGCCCGUCACACCAUGAGAGUUUGUAACACCCAAAGCCGGUGGGGUAACCUUCUGGAGCCAGCCGUCUAAGGUGGGACAGAUGAUUGGGGUGAAGUCGUAACAAGGUAUC